This 253-nucleotide ribosomal RNA is filed under the name uncultured bacterium. Its description in RNAcentral is "partial 16S ribosomal RNA". It matches the Rfam family "Bacterial small subunit ribosomal RNA", at positions 524 to 776 of the family's 1533-position model. The record is from RNAcentral.
UACGUAGGGUGCAAGCGUUAAUCGGAAUUACUGGGCGUAAAGCGUGCGCAGGCGGUCAUGUAAGACAGAUGUGAAAUGCCCGGGCUUAACCUGGGAACUGCAUUUGUGACUGCAUGGCUAGAGUUUGGCAGAGGGGGGUAGAAUUCCACGUGUAGCAGUGAAAUGCGUAGAUAUGUGGAGGAACACCGAUGGCGAAGGCAGCCCCCUGGGUCAAGACUGACGCUCAUGCACGAAAGCGUGGGGAGCAAACAGG